Molecule: ribosomal RNA, 164 nt
Filed under: uncultured bacterium
Lineage: Bacteria
Description: partial 16S rRNA
Rfam family: Bacterial small subunit ribosomal RNA
Source: RNAcentral
UAGGGAAUCUUCCACAAUGGACGCAAGCCUGAUGGGGCAACACCGCGUGAGUGAAGAAGGGUUUCGGCUCGUAAAGCUCUGUUGUUAAGGAAGAACACGUAUGAGAGUAACUGUUCAUACGUUGACGGUAUUUAACCAGAAAGUCACGGCUAACUACGUGCCAG